This is a long non-coding RNA of Helianthus annuus (common sunflower), 373 nucleotides long. RefSeq lists it as uncharacterized. The record is from RefSeq and is a predicted model, not a curated record. NCBI's taxonomy places the organism in Eukaryota, Viridiplantae, Streptophyta, Magnoliopsida, Asterales, Asteraceae. The transcript is spliced from 2 exons.
CGAUUCAGGAGCUAAAACUCGUAGAGAGAGACGGAAAGAAAGCCGAUUAGAUAAAAGUAAGAGAAAGUUUGACUCGUGGCUCCAACAUCAUAAAAUAAAAAAGACGAUGAGCAAUAAGAAGGCAGAAAAUAUGCACAAGAAUACUCAAAUUGAAUUGAUAACCAGAGAUUUUAAAAGACUAUCCAAAACUAAAUUUGAGGAGUAUAUGGAUAUAGAUGGGAGAGAAGCUUCUAGAAACACCAGUUCUUCACAUAAGAGGACAGUAUAUGGAUAUAGAUGGGAGAGAAGCUUCUAGAAGCUUCACUUGCGAAGUGUUUUGAGGUUCUUUCCUUGUUUGAAAUAGAAAUUUAGAAUGAAUAAUUUGAUUUUCACA